This 392-nucleotide ribosomal RNA is filed under the name uncultured bacterium. Its description in RNAcentral is "bacterial SSU rRNA". It matches the Rfam family "Bacterial small subunit ribosomal RNA", at positions 28 to 414 of the family's 1533-position model. The record is from RNAcentral.
GACGAACGCUGGCGGCGUGCUUAACACAUGCAAGUGGGGCGACGAACCAGGCUUCGGCCUGGGGCAAAGCCGCGAACGGGUGAGUAACACGUGGGUAACCUGCCCCGAUGACCGGGACAACCCGAGGAAACUCGGGCUAAUACCGGAUGUGCUCGCACCACACCAGUGGUGUGCGUAAAGGUAGCUUCGGCCUCCGCAUCGGGAUGGGCCCGCGGCCCAUUAGCUUGUUGGUGAGGUAACGGCUCACCAAGGCUGCGAUGGGUAGCUGGUCUGAGAGGACGAUCAGCCACACUGGGACUGAGACACGGCCCAGACUCCUACGGAGGCAGCAGUGGGGAAUCUUGCGCAAUGCGCGAAAGCGUGACGCAGCAACGCCGCGUGGGGGAAGAAGG